AACGAACGCUGGCGGCAGGCCUAACACAUGCAAGUCGAACGAGGUAGCAAUACCUAGUGGCGCACGGGUGAGAAACGCGUGGGAAUCUCCCUUCUAGUACGGGAUAACACCGGGAAACUGGUGCUAAUACCGUAUGACCCCUCCGGGGGAAAGAUUUAUCGCUAGAAGAUGAGCCCGCGUAAGAUUAGCUAGUUGGUGAGGUAACGGCUCACCAAGGCUACGAUCUUUAGCUGGUCUUAGAGGACGAUCAGCCACACUGGAACUGAGACACGGUCCAGACUCCUACGGGAGGCAGCAGUGGGGAAUCUUGGACAAUGGGGGAAACCCUGAUCCAGCCAUGCCGCGUGAGUGAUGAAGGCCUUCGGGUUGUAAAGCUCUUUUGUGUGGGAAGAUAAUGACUGUACCACAAGAAUAAGCCCCGGCUAACUUCGUGCCAGCAGCCGCGGUAA
This 449-nucleotide ribosomal RNA is filed under the name uncultured bacterium. Its description in RNAcentral is "partial 16S ribosomal RNA". It matches the Rfam family "Bacterial small subunit ribosomal RNA", at positions 29 to 523 of the family's 1533-position model. The record is from RNAcentral.